RNAcentral lists this ribosomal RNA (390 nucleotides) under uncultured bacterium. Its description in RNAcentral is "bacterial SSU rRNA". It matches the Rfam family "Bacterial small subunit ribosomal RNA", at positions 335 to 713 of the family's 1533-position model. The record is from RNAcentral.
ACUCCUACGGGAGGCAGCAGUGGGGAAUAUUGCACAAUGGGGGAAACCCUGAUGCAGCCAUGCCGCGUGUGUGAAGAAGGCCUUCGGGUUGUAAAGACACUUUCUAGUAGGGAGGAAGGUAGUGUAGUUAACACCUGCAUUAUUUGUACGUUACCUACAGAAGAAGCACCGGCUAACUCCGUGCCAGCAGCCGCGGUAAGUACGGAGGGUGCGAGCGUUAAUCGGAAUUACUGGGCGUAAAGCGCAUGCAGGCGGCCUGUUAAGUCAGAUGUGAAAGCCCGGGGUCUUAACCUCGGAAUUGCAUUUGAAACUGGCAGGCUAGAGUCUUGUAGAGGGGUUAGAAUUUCAGGUGUAGCGGUGAAAUGCGUAGAGAUCUGAAGGAAUACCAGU